Molecule: long non-coding RNA, 243 nt
Filed under: Rattus norvegicus (Norway rat)
Lineage: Eukaryota; Metazoa; Chordata; Mammalia; Rodentia; Muridae
Description: long non-coding RNA NONRATT009754
Source: RNAcentral
AUGGUGAGGCGGAACAGGGGCAUCAGAUCUCUUAAACUGCUUCCUGCCGUCUAAGGAUGUCAUCACCUUUGCUGUGUAGCUGACCUUCACCAUUGGGACUCAUUCGAUAGUCGUUUGCAUCAGGCUCUUCAGUAGACAGUGGCUGGUUGUGCUGAGUCAGACCUGAAGGGCACACAAGGCUUCCCCUCGGCUUCUCUUCACAUUACCUUCAGAGUUAGCUCGGUGGUUUUAAAAGUUCAAGUG